Molecule: ribosomal RNA, 259 nt
Filed under: uncultured prokaryote
Description: partial 16S ribosomal RNA
Rfam family: Bacterial small subunit ribosomal RNA
Source: RNAcentral
UACGUAGGGUGCGAGCGUUGUCCGGAAUUACUGGGCGUAAAGAGCUCGUAGGCGGUUUGUCGCGUCGUCUGUGAAAUUCCGGGGCUUAACCUCGGGCGUGCAGGCGAUACGGGCAAUACUUGAGUGCUGUAGGGAGACUGGAAUUCCUGGUGUAGCGGUGAAAUGCGCAGAUAUCAGGAGGAACACCGAUGGCGAAGGCAGGUCUCUGGGCAGUAACUGACGCUGAGGAGCGAAAGCAUGGGUAGCGAACAGGAUUAGA